UCGGGAAUUUUGGGCAAUGGGGGAAACCCUGACCCAGCAACGCCGCGUGAAGGAUGAAGUAUUUCGGUAUGUAAACUUCGAAAGAAUAGGAAGAAUUAAUGACGGUACUAUUUAUAAGGUCCGGCUAACUACGUGCCAGCAGCCGCGGUAAUACGUAGGGACCAAGCGUUGUUCGGAUUUACUGGGCGUAAAGGGCGCGUAGGCGGCGCGGUAAGUCACUUGUGAAAUCUCUGAGCUUAACUCAGAACGGCCAAGUGAUACUGCAGUGCUAGAGUGUGGAAGGGGCAAUCGGAAUUCUUGGUGUAGCGGUGAAAUGCGUAGAUAUCAAGAGGAACACCUGAGGUGAAGACGGGUUGCUGGGCCAACACUGACGCUGAGGCGCGAAAGCCAGGGGAGCAAACGGG
Molecule: ribosomal RNA, 404 nt
Filed under: Bacillota bacterium
Lineage: Bacteria; Bacillati; Bacillota
Also listed under: 1 other name
Description: Firmicutes bacterium partial 16S ribosomal RNA
Rfam family: Bacterial small subunit ribosomal RNA
Source: RNAcentral